GGCCCGAUGGCGGAGUGGUUACGCACCGGAUUGCAAAUCCGUUUACCCCGGUUCGAUUCCGGGUCGGGCCUCCA
RNAcentral lists this transfer RNA (74 nucleotides) under Novosphingobium sp. Fuku2-ISO-50. RNAcentral describes it as "tRNA-Cys". It matches the Rfam family "tRNA". Rfam says of the family: Transfer RNA (tRNA) molecules are approximately 80 nucleotides in length. Their secondary structure includes four short double-helical elements and three loops (D, anti-codon, and T loops). The record is from RNAcentral. Lineage: Bacteria; Pseudomonadati; Pseudomonadota; Alphaproteobacteria; Sphingomonadales; Sphingomonadaceae. RNAcentral also lists the same sequence under 1 other name.